RNAcentral lists this long non-coding RNA (4431 nucleotides) under Homo sapiens (human). RNAcentral describes it as "HSALNT0225753". The record is from RNAcentral. Lineage: Eukaryota; Metazoa; Chordata; Mammalia; Primates; Hominidae.
GUAGGCCGGCCCUGCCUGCAGGCCUCUUUCCACCCAGCCAGCAAACACCUCACCGUCUUCAUGUGUCCUGUGGCUUUUCAGCAGGCUGGAUUUUCUCCUCACAGCGUCUGGAAAACAGAGUCAAGUUUCUCCCUCCCCUCCCUCGCUACUCUCUCCUCCCUCUGCAGGCUCCGGAUCAGGCUGCCAAUCUGUAAAUGAUGUUUUAGGUUUUUCUUUGUUGUUGUUUUGGUGCUGUGAAGCCUGCCUUGUUAACACCAGGUGCUGAAAGAUUAAAACUUAUCAAUCACCAUCAUCAAGGGGGAGUUGCCGGGCACAAGUUCUCUUCUCUUGUCUGCUGCCAUGUGAGACAUACCUUUCACCUUCCGCCAUGAUUGUGAGGCCUCUCCAGCCACGUGGAACUCAGGUUUCAGUCCUUGAGGAGCGCUCACUAGGAUGGUAAUUGUUUGAUCGAUAGAUUAAGUGAGUUGGAAGACUCUCCAAGUGAAAAUUUAAAAUUACUGCAGUUUUGGCCUGAUGAUGUUAACCAGCAAGAACAGAAUCUGAAACCAGAUGAGCUGUUAGUACUGCUUUCAUCUGUUUUACAGCCACAGCGACAGCAGUUCCCUGGCUUCUGGAAGGAGUGUCGGUCUAUCCAAAAAAUGUACUAACAGAUAUGUAAAGUCUGUCAUCCAUUUGCAGCAAAUUUUGCCUACGGUAUGAAAUAGGAGUUCAAUUUGACAUUGAAUAUUGAUAUCUUAGCAAUAUUAUCUCCCAAUCUGUGAACACGAAAUUUCUUUAUAUUUAUUCAAAUUAUCUUUGGUUUUUAAUGAUGUUAAAUCCAAGUAUUCUUUGUGAUGCUGUUGUAAAUGGAAUUUUUUGUGUUGUUCAUUGCUAAUGUAUAAAAACCAAUGAUGUUUGUAUAUUAAUCUUGUAUCCUGCAACCUCAUUGAACUAGUUUAUUAGCUCUAGUAAUAUGUUGGUGUGAAUCCCUUAAUAUUUUCUACAUACAAGAUCAUGUCAUCUGCAAAUUGUUUUACUUCUUCCUUUCCAAUUUGGAUGCUUUUUAUUUCAUCUUGCCUACUGCUUUGGCUACAACCUCCAGUACAAGAUUGAAUAGAAGUGAUGAGACAGAACAUCCUUGUCUUAUUUGUGAUCUCUGGGGGGGAAGGCUUACAGUAUUUUGCAUCAACAUAUCAGCUACGGGUUUUUCAUAGAUGUCCUUUCUCAGGAUGAAAAAGUCCAUGUUUGGCUUUUUGAAUGUUUUCAUCUAAGAGUUUUGGAUUUUGCCAAAUGUUAAAUGCUUCUUCUGUAUGCAUUGAGAUGAUCUUGUUGUUUUUGUCCUUUAUUCUAAUAAUAUGGUGUACUACAUUGAUUUCUGUAUGUUGAAGUUUGUAUUCCUAAGAUAAAUCUCACUUGCUUAUGGUGUACAUUCCUUUCUAUAUGUUGCUGGAUUUACUUUCAUUAGUAUUUUGUUGAGGAUUUUUGCCUCUAUAUUGAGGGCUAUUGGCCUGUAGUUGUUUUCUUUGCCUGAUUUCUAAUGUGGGUGAUACUGAAUUGGGAAGGGUAUCCUCCUUCUCUGUUUUUUGGUGUUUGUGAAUAAUUGGUGGUAUUCUGUAAAUGUUUGACAGAAUUCACCAGUGAAGACAUCUGCUCCUGGACUUUUUCCCGUGGGAAGUUUGUUUUUAAGAGAUGGGAGUCUCACUCUCACCCAGGCUGGAGUGCAGUGGUGUGACAAUAGCUCACUACAGCCUUGAACUUGUGGGCUUAAGGGAUACUUCCACCUCAGCCUCCCAAGUAGCUGGGACUGCAGGUGUGCACCACCACACCUAUUUUUUUUUAAUUUAUUUUUUUUUAGAGACAAGGUCUCACUAUGUUGCCCAGGCUGGUCUUAAACUUCUGGCCUAAAGCCAUCCUCCUGCUUCAGCCUCCCAAGUAGCUGGCAUUACAUGUGUGAGCCACCAUGCCUGGCUGUGGGAAGUUUUUUGAUUACUCAUUAAUUUAAUCUCUUGUUUGGAUCUAUUUAAAGUUUUUAUUUCUUCUUCAGUUUUGAUAUGUCUUUCUAGAAAUUUGUCCAUGUCAUCUAAGUUCCCUAAUUUGUUGUCAUAUGAACUCUUAUUUUUAUUUCCAUAAGAUUGGUAGUAGUCUUUCAUUCCUGACUUUGGUAAUCUAUCUUCUCUAUUUUUUUUUCUAGGCUGCCUAAGGGUGUGUCAACUUUAUUGACUUUUUCUAAGAACCAGCUUUCGGUUUGAUUUUCUCUGUUUUUCUUUCUAGGCUGCCUAAGGGUUUGUCAACUUUAUUGACUUUUUCUAAGAACCAGCUUUUGGUUUGAUUUUCUCUGUUUUUCUUUCUAUCCUCUAUUUCAUUUAUUUUGAUUCUAAUCCAUAUUAUUUCUUUGUUCUGCUUGCUUUAGGUUUAGUUUGCUAUUAUUUUCUAGUUUCUGAAGGUUUAGAGCUAGGUUAUUGAUUUGAAGCUUUUAACAGAGACAUUUAUAGCUAUACAUGGUCCUUUAAGUGAUGGUUUAGCUGCAUCUCAUAAGUUCUGGUAUGUUCUGUUAUUUUCAUUACUCUCUUAAGGGACUUUGUAAUUUCCCUUGUGAUUCUUUUCUUUGACCCAUUGGUUAAAAGGAAUGUACUGUUUAAUUUCCACAUUUUUUUAGGUUUCCCAAAUUUUCUUCCAAUUUUAAAUUUCAUCCCAUUGUGGUCAGAGAACGUGUUUUGUAUAAUUUCAACGAUUAAAAUUAUGCCUUCUUGAUGGAUUGUCCCUUUUAUUAUGUAAUGUCUUUGUCUCUACUAACAAUUUUUAUCUUAAAGUCUGUUUUGUCUGAUGUUAUAUCCACUCAAGCUUUUUCCUUACAGUUUACAUGUGUUUUUUUCAUCCUUUUACUUUCAGCCUACUUGUGUCAUUGAAUCUAAAGUGUUUCUUAGUGGGCAGCAUAUAGUUGGACCAUGAUUUUUAUCCAUUCUACCAUCUUUGCCUUUUGAGUGUUUAAUCCAUUUAUGCUUAAUGCCAAUUACUGAUAAGGCAGGGUUUAGUCUGCCAUUUUGCUAAUUUUUUUCUUUUUUUUUUUUUUUAAUAGAGACAAGGCCUCACUAUGUUGUCCAUGCUGGCCUUGAACUCCCCAGGCUCAAGCAAUCCUCCUGCUUCAGCCUCCCAAAGUGCUGGGAUUAUAGGCAUGAGCCACUGUGACCAGAUUUUUUGCUUUCUAUGUCUUUUGUCUUUUUUGUUCCUUUAUUCCUCUGUUACUUCCAUAUCUUCUUUUGUUAGCAGCUAUUUUCUAGUGUACCAUUUUCUUUGUUGUAGCUUUUACUAUAUAUUCUCUAGCUAUGUUCUUAGUGUUUUUCCUGAGGAUUAUUAACAUUUCAAUUUAUAACAACCUAGUUUGGAAUAAUGCUAACUUCAACAGUAUAGAAAAAUUUUCUUCCUAAGUCUCUUCCCUCCUCCUUCCUUUGUAAUGUUGUCAUACAAAUUGUUUUUUCACCUUAUGCCCAGAUUUUUAAUUAUUGUUUUAUGCAGUUGCCUCAAAUCAGAUAGGAGGAAAGUUACCAAAAAUGCAUUUGUACUGCCUUUUAUAUUUACCAAUAUAACUACCUUUACCAGUGCUAUUUCUUCAUGUGCAUUUGAGUUACUAUUAUCUUUUCGUUUCAGCCUUUAAGUUCUCUGUUUUUCUUGUAGAGCAGCCUUGCUAAUAAAUUCUGUUUUUGUUUAUCUGGGCAUGUCCUAAUCAUUUCUGAAGGAUAGUUUUGCUGGAAAUAGAAUGCUUAUUUGAUAGUCAUUCACUUUCAGCACUUGGAAUACAUCAUCCCACUGUUUUCUACACUCCAUAGUUUCUGAUGAAGAUCCCUAGUACACGAGUCACUUCUCUCUUUGCUUCCAAGAUGCUUUGGUACACAGUGUGAUUUUGUAUCCAGGCACGGAUCUCUUGAGUUUAUACUACUUAAGGUUCAUUGAGCUUCUUGGGUAUGUAAAUCAAUGCUUUUCAUCAAAUUUCAGUCUUUGGCCAUUAUUUUUUUUUAAAAUAUUCUACCUCUUUCUCUCCUCUCGUCUGGGACUCCAAUUAUGCAUAUAUUGGUAUGCAUGAUGGUGUGCCACAGCUCUCUGAGGCUCUAUUCAUUUUUCUUUAUUCUUUUUUCUGUUUCUCAGACUAGAUAGAGUUCCUCUCAUGAAUUUUUCAUUUCAGUUAUUGUAUUUUCAACUUCAUGAUUUAUAUUUGGUUCUUUUAAAAAUAAUUUUUCAUUUUCUAUUUAGUGAGACAUUUUCAUACUUUUAGUUCUUUACACAUUAUUUUUCUUUAGUUCUCUGAACCUAUUUAAAAUAGCCAAUUUAAAGUCUUCAUCUAAAAAUCCAAUGUCUAGACUUCCUCAGGUGUCUAUUUUUUAUUCCUCCCAUGUAUGGAACAUACUUUCUUCUUUAUGUGUCUCAUAAUUUUUCUGUGGAAAACUGGACAUUUCAAAG